CGACGCUUCCGUGCGUACGUGUGUGGAGGUGCGCAUGACGGCACUGACGGCAACCAACCCCCCAUCUUUCCACACUCCGCACGAGCUGAGGAUUGCCCAACGCCAGAGGCUCACCACUGCGGCACUCCUCUCCUUUCCUCACUCUCAUCCUAUCGAGCUGACAUCGCAGCACUUGAUCACAUAUAUCGAGCGCACAGGGACACAAGGGACACACACACACACACAUAUGCACACCGCCCCCACUGCCACCCCUCUCUGUCCAUCUCACGGUGCUUAUCUUUCCUUUUUUUGGCGGAUCCUUCAGCAGCAGCAUCACCAUCACACAGCGGCACUGACGACAUACAAGGUACGGUGUACAGCCAUUCCCUCUCUCUGCCACGUGACGUCGUCAUAGUCGCCCACUGCGCACCUCACCUGCCUCUCCCAUUACUCGAUUGGGCGCUGUGCUUCAUCUCGAGUGCCUGGCGAACUCUUCCCACCCUAUCAACAUAUUUGACGAUUGCCCAUGUGUGUGCGCCCUGUGCGCUCUCUGCGAGCGAACUAUGCGCUUCUCCCGUGUGUCGGUGCCGGGCAUCAAGCGCGUCAUCACCAUCUGUAGCGCCAAGGGCGGUGUUGGCAAGUCCACCACCUCCGUCAAUGUCGCUCUUGCGCUGAAGAACAUGGGACACAGCGUCGGCCUCGUCGACGCAGACAUAACAGGGCCGUCCAUCCCUACGAUGAUGGGGGUGGAAAGCUCCCAGGUCGAGACGUACCGCGUCGCCGGCAGCGACCGUUUCGGCCCCCCCAUGAACUUCGGCGUGAAAGUGAUGAGCAUGGGGCUCAUUGUCCCGUAUGACGAGGCCAUCGCCGUGCGCGGGCCGAUGGUGAACAAGUACAUCCGCGCCCUGCUCUUCCAAACGGAUUGGGAGGAACUAGACUACCUCCUCAUCGACAUGCCGCCCGGCACCAACGACGUGCAUCUCACGAUCACGCAGGAGGUCAUGCUCUCUGGCGCCGUGAUUGUCUCGACGCCGCAGAAGGUGGCACUCAUCGAUGUGCGGCGCGGCAUCGACAUGUUCGCGGCCGUCAACGCGCCGGUGCUGGGGCUUGUGGAGAACAUGAGCUACUUUAAGUGCGAUAGCUGUGACAAGCGGCAUUACAUGUUCGGCCGCGACGGCGUGGCACGCGCGGCGGAGGAGCUGGGAGUGCCGUUUCUGGGUGAAAUUCCGUUCUUGAGUCGCAUUAUGCAGGACACCGACGAGGGUGUACCCCCCGCACUGCGCGGGGAUGCGACGUUGGAGGCGGCGAAGCCGUACUACGAGCUUGCCGAGCGCAUCCACGCGACGUUGGGCGAGAGCGAGAGGAACAGGGCCGGCGACGGCAGCGGGAAGGAUGUCGGUCAACGCGCUCCUGCCCCCGAGCCGACCAUCGUAUUUGAGUGAAAGGCGCGCAGUGCGAAGGCGCAGGAACAAAACAGCAA
RNAcentral lists this unclassified non-coding RNA (1459 nucleotides) under Leishmania donovani. RNAcentral's name for it is "gene:LdHU3.28.3590(CDS-product:MRP_protein-like_p rotein)". The record is from RNAcentral. Lineage: Eukaryota; Euglenozoa; Kinetoplastea; Trypanosomatida; Trypanosomatidae.